UGGGGAAUAUUGGACAAUGGGGGGCACCCUGAUCCAGCGAUGCCGCGUGUGUGAAGAAGGCCUGCGGGUUGUAAAGCACUUUUAUAGGGGGAGAAGAGAGGAAGUCGAAUAGACUUUUGAUUUGACGGUACCCUAGGAAAAAGCACCGGCUAACUCUGUGCCAGCAGCCGCGGUAAUACAGAGGGUGCGAGCGUUAAUCGGAAUAACUGGGCGUAAAGGGCGAGUAGGCGGAUAGAUAAGUGAGGUGGUAAAGACAUGGGCUCAACCUGUGGGUGACACCUUAGACUGUCAGUCUAGAGAGCAGGAGAGGGGAGUGGAAUUUCCGGAGGAGCGGUAAAAUGCGUAGAUUUCGGAAGGAACACCGGUGGCGAAGGCGACUUUCUGGCCUGCAUCUGACGCUGAGGCGCGAAGGCGUGGGGAGCAAACAGGAUUAGAUACCCCCGUAGUCC
Molecule: ribosomal RNA, 449 nt
Filed under: uncultured bacterium
Lineage: Bacteria
Description: bacterial SSU rRNA
Rfam family: Bacterial small subunit ribosomal RNA
Source: RNAcentral